UGGGGAAUAUUGCACAAUGGGCGGAAGCCUGAUGCAGCGACGCCGCGUGGGGGAUGAAGGCCUUCGGGUUGUAAACUCCUUUCGACAGGGACGAAGCCUUUGUGACGGUACCUGUAUAAGAAGCACCGGCUAACUACGUGCCAGCAGCCGCGGUAAUACGUAGGGUGCGAGCGUUGUCCGGAAUUACUGGGCGUAAAGAGCUCGUAGGUGGUUUGUCGCGUCGUCUGUGAAAUUCCGGGGCUUAACUCCGGGCGUGCAGGCGAUACGGGCUGACUUGAGUGCUGUAGGGGAGACUGGAAUUCCUGGUGUAGCGGUGAAAUGCGCAGAUAUCAGGAGGAACACCGAUGGCGAAGGCAGGUCUCUGGGCAGUAACUGACGCUGAGGAGCGAAAGCAUGGGUAGCGAACAGGAUUAGAUACCCUGGUAGUCCAUGCCGUAAACGGUGGGCGCUAGGUGUAGGGGGCUUCCACGUCUUCUGUGCCGUAGCUAACGCAUUAAGCGCCCCGCCUGGGGAGUACGGCCGCAAGGCUA
RNAcentral lists this ribosomal RNA (530 nucleotides) under uncultured bacterium. RNAcentral describes it as "bacterial SSU rRNA". It matches the Rfam family "Bacterial small subunit ribosomal RNA", at positions 355 to 896 of the family's 1533-position model. The record is from RNAcentral.